Molecule: long non-coding RNA, 2717 nt
Filed under: Sus scrofa (pig)
Lineage: Eukaryota; Metazoa; Chordata; Mammalia; Artiodactyla; Suidae
Description: lncRNA (ENSSSCG00065069270.1)
Source: RNAcentral
GCAAUGCCAGAUCUGAGCCACUUCUGCGACCUACGCCACAGUUCAUGGCAAUGCUGGAUCCUUAACCCACUGAGUGAGGCAAGAGAUCGAACCCUCAGCCUCAUGGUUCCUAGUCGGAUUCGUUUCCACUACACCACAAUAGGAACUCUGGAACUUCUAAUUUUUAAUAAUAAACGUUUAUAUUAAGAAACAAACAACUAGAGCUAUUCUCUAGGAAAAGGCUAUUAUUCCAUGUUUCCCUUAGUCUAGGGCUCUAAGUGAAGGUGAAAAGGAGCACAUAAGACCCUUCCUAAUUCCAUUAAUUUCCUUGAAAAAUUUAUAGGGACAUUACCAACCUCUGGUCUAAUCAAAUAGAGAAAAAAGGAAGGAGGGUCAGAGGAUACAGACAGAGGAUACUCUGAUCAAAUCUGGAUGCGAUAAUUAAAUGGAAGCAGCAGGUUUUAUUUUCUCCUGCCUCAGUCAAAAACUACAAAUCUUUCUUUCAACCUAUAAAGAUAACUUUUCUAACUACAGUCAGAAACUAGUUUCCUGGAGGAAGAUGCAUGCUGCUUUGCUGUUGGCAUUUCACACUCUGCCCAGUGGUAUAAACACACUAUAUCUCAGCCAAUCUGGCAAACAGAUCUCUAAAACCCAAAAGUUAUUUCACCACAACUGCCAAUAGAUAGAAUUGUUUCCCUGCACUACUAGGUUACAGUGCCCUCCGACUUUGUAAACAACGAGUAUAUUAACUACGACAAAGUAAAAUGGGGUAUUCUCUCUCUCUCUCUCUCUUUUUUUUUUUGUCUUUUGUCUUUUUAGGGGCAUACCCAUGGCAUAUGUAGGUUCCCAGGCUAGGGGUCUAAUCGGAGCUGUAGCUGCCAGCCUACACCACGGCCACAGCAACACUAGAUCCCAGCCAUGUCUGCGACCUACACCACAGCUCAUGGCAAUGCCGGAUCCUUAACCCACUGAGGGAGGCCAGGGAUCGAACCCGCAACCUCAUGGUUCCUAGUUGGAUUCGUUUCCGCUGCACCACAAUGGGAACUCCUAAAAUGGGAUAUUCUUUAUCAGACUUACACAAGCACUUUCUCUCUUUUUUUGGCUUUUUAGGGCCAGACCUGUGACAUAUGGAAAUUCCAAGGCUAGGGGUCAAAUUUGAGCUGUACCUGCAACCUACACCACAGCACACGGCAACACCAGAUCCUUAACCCACUGAGUGAGGCCAGGGAUCAAACCCAUGUCCUCAAGGAUACUCAGCAGGUUCAUUACCUCAGAGUCAUGAUGGCAACUCCCACAAGCACCUUCUAAUAGAACUUUCUGAAUGAUGGAAAUGUUGUGUAAUUUGUCCAGAGAAGUAUAAUUUGUCCAAAGUUGUCUGGAGAAGAGGGGGAUGCGGUGAGAAGGGGUCUGGAGCAAAGUUAAGCUUCAUAGAUACAUUCACUAUCUGGACUGUAGUGAUGAUUUCAGAUUUAUCUGAAAUCUAUGAUAAAGUGUAUGCUUCAAAUACAUACAUUUAUUAUAUUUUAAUUAUACUUUUAUAAAGAUGAAAGUGUGUGUGUGACCCACUGUGCUAGAAACACGUAGAGAAUAUCACUUUGGUUGAAGAGCUGCUUUGGGGAAUUCCGCUAGAGCUUCCAUUCAAGAAGCUGAUCUUUGUUGAUCCUGGACUAAGAUAGAUCAGAAGGGUCAGAACACAGACCAAAUCCAAGGGAACCAGCCCUAAGGAUCUCCUGGCUGGAGAUGCUGAAGAGGGAAACAGGAACCCGAUCACAUAGACCGGGUAGUGCAUGGAAUUCAAAAUGUAAUGGGAUAACAUCGGGGGAUUUAAGCAGGGAUUUCAUUUUCAGUGCUCCCUUUGUAGUUGCUGCGGCUGCAUUUGUUUAUAUAGAUAAUACACUCCCAUGGUUCAAGAGCUCAAUCCCUAUAAAGAGGUAUACAGCAAAAAGUCUUCUGCAUUAGUUAUCUAUUGCUAUGUAACAAAUUACUCCAAAAUUUAAUGGCUUAGAACAAUAAACAUGUAAUAUUUCACAGUUUCUGUGGGUCAAGGAUUUGAGAGUGACUUGGCUGGGUGGUUCUAUCUCAGGGUCUCUCAGGAAGUUGCAUCAAAACAUAGGCCAUGACUACAAGCACCGGAGGGUUUGCCUGGGGAAGAGGAUCCGCAUCCAAGAAGGAACACUCACAUGGCUCUUGUCUAGAGACCUUCAUAGACAGACCCCUCUUCAGGUGUGGAAGGUCUGAGUGCCCCACACCAAGGUAGGUGGCUUCUGCUAAAGCUAGUGAUCCAAGAAAACAAGAGAUGCUCGUAUCUUUUACCAUUAUGAAAUUUUUUUUUUUUUUGGUCUUUUUUAGUGCCACACCCAUGGCAUACAGAGGUUCCCAAGCUAGGGGUCCAAUCGGAGCUGUAGCUACCGGCCUACACCACAGCUCACAGCAACGCCAGAUCCUUAAUCCUGAGCAGGCCCAGGGAUCGAACCCAUGUCCUUGUGGAUACUAGCCAGGUUCGUUAACUGCUGAGCCACAACAGGAACUCCCACAUAUCUUUUAUAACCCAGACUCAGAAAUUAAAUUUCAUUACAGCAGCAAUGCUCUGUAUGUUGCACAAAUCAGCCCCAUUCAGUGUGGGAGGGCACCACACCGGGCAUAAAUAUCAGGUGGUGGGAAUCAUUAGAGACUGUCUUAGAAACUGGCGGUCAUAUCUCGGUUUUUUUUUCCCCAGAAGGAGAAAGAAAAAAAAAAAA